GAAGAACUGAAGAACCCAACCAGGAAGAAGGAGAAGAAGGAGAAGGAAAGGGAAAAAAAAAAUUGCAGUGCUGCUGAGUUUUUCAAAGAAAAGUGCAGGAGAGGGAGGAAGAUAGGAUGACAGAGGAGGAAGAAGAUAGCAGAAACAGAGGAGAGAGAGAGAGAGAGACAGACAUACCUGGAUUCGCAGCUCUGGAGGUGGAGGCGACACUAUUUUCCUUUUCUCUGUCGGCAACAGGUAAGUGUGUAGGGUUUUAUAUUUUUGUCUUAAAAAAU
Molecule: unclassified non-coding RNA, 275 nt
Filed under: Hevea brasiliensis (rubber tree)
Lineage: Eukaryota; Viridiplantae; Streptophyta; Magnoliopsida; Malpighiales; Euphorbiaceae
Source: RNAcentral